AGUGAACGCUGGCGGUAGGCCUAACACAUGCAAGUCGAACGGCAGCACAGUAAGAGCUUGCUCUUACGGGUGGCGAGUGGCGGACGGGUGAGGAAUACAUCGGAAUCUACUUUAUCGUGGGGGAUAACGUAGGGAAACUUACGCUAAUACCGCAUACGACCUACGGGUGAAAGCAGGGGAUCUUCGGACCUUGCGCGAUUGAAUGAGCCGAUGUCGGAUUAACUAGUUGGCGGGGUAAAGGCCCACCAAGGCGACGAUCCGUAGCUGGUCUGAGAGGAUGAUCAGCCACACUGGAACUGAGACACGGUCCAGACUCCUACGGGAGGCAGCAGUGGGGAAUAUUGGACAAUGGGCGCAAGCCUGAUCCAGCCAUACCGCGUGGGUGAAGAAGGCCUUCGGGUUGUAAAGCCCUUUUGUUGGGAAAGAAAAGCAGCAGGUUAAUACCCCGCUGUUCUGACGGUACCCAAAGAAUAAGCACCGGCUAACUUCGUG
Molecule: ribosomal RNA, 492 nt
Filed under: uncultured bacterium
Lineage: Bacteria
Description: partial 16S ribosomal RNA
Rfam family: Bacterial small subunit ribosomal RNA
Source: RNAcentral